Long non-coding RNA from Helianthus annuus (common sunflower), 1707 nucleotides. RefSeq lists it as uncharacterized. The record is from RefSeq and is a predicted model, not a curated record. NCBI's taxonomy places the organism in Eukaryota, Viridiplantae, Streptophyta, Magnoliopsida, Asterales, Asteraceae. The transcript is spliced from 9 exons.
UUGUGUACUCUCCCAUGGUUUGUGGCCCAUCUUCUCCACUAGGCACGGUUGCUAGGACGUGGGUAGAAUGCAGUUGCCCAGUGGUCUUAUAUAAUAUAGACCCUUGCAUCCAAAUAUUCACCUCCAUACAUCUUUCAGUUUGUAGCAGAUAUGAUAUAUGCACAUAAAUAAACACACCGUUGGUACCGCGUUCUUCAAUCGUGAUCUCAAACUUACAUUCAAUUGUUCUUCAUUCAAGAUCUGCCCUUCUCCUCUACUCGCCGCCGCUGUUGUUUGAGUCGGACAUCGGCGCCGCCUCCGUUCUACACCCUUUUGUCAUUUAACACACCCUGGCGCCACAAAAUUUCUGAAAUCAAUCACAAGGUCGUUGAUGUUCUUGGAUAGGUUACUAUCUCAGUUAAGGCUUAGUGGAGAUAAAUUAUUAGUUGCAGAAGAUCCUAAAGAGAAAGACAUAUCAACUUGAAAGUCCCAAGUGAGAGGAGGACAAAGGUCAUUACUUGAGGCUAGCAAUCUGAUUGUUCUCAAGGGAUAUAAAAAGUAGUUGAGUGGAACCCAUACACUAAAAUUACUAAGUACUAAUUACACUAGAUAAUGUGAGUUUGGAAGAAGGGGGCAAGGGGCCAUGUGUAAGCCACUUAAUGCUGGUAUCCAUGCCUAUAGGCGUGUCGAUAUCAACCCAGACAAUAAAGUUUCGAUCUUUGGGGAUGGACCCAUCUCCACUUUUACACGGCAGGCUGAGCUCACGGUACUGGUUGGUUAUUUUGGGACACAACAAAGUAUGCCAUGAAUGGUUCAGCAAAACUUGAUGCCAAUCUUCAAGAGAUAUUUUUAAUGGAAAUUUGAAGGCUAUUCAGGGAUUGGGAUAGUUUCAAUAGCACCAAACCAUGAGGGCUACUAACGGGCCAACCAACCCAACCCUUCUGAACUUGGUAUAUUAUUCAUAAGUAUGUGAUUUUUGUAACAAAAUUUUUUAUCUUGUCAUAUAUAGUAGUGCAGAAUUCUUGCUUGAAGCAAUAAAUGGACUUCUUUCGGACACCAGGUUUCAAAUAUGGCAUUCAGAAAAGUGUACCCGUUGUCUGGAUGAAUACCCACCAUUGUCGAAUGAAUCAUUUGUCAAUGAAUGAUGGGUAUUACGUUCUUCAAGAAGGCUUUUGUAAUGGUGUCAAUCUUGAUUCUGUUAGCUCUCAAGGUUGCCUAUUAUUUGAGUAUAUGGAAUGGAAUCAGCCUUGGGGUAGAGAACCUUUAGCUGAUAAGGUUAAGCCUUGCCACACGCCAUCCUAUUUACGAGGGUUACGCCUUGCCACAUGCCAUCCUCCGGUUAGAUCUAGCAGGACGUUAUCUAACCGUCUGGUUGAUGAGAUUCUACCAGAACGUAGAACGUGGGUAUACAUUCACCAGAACCGCAAAACGGGAAAUUGUUAGAGACAUGAAAGAAAAACGGGCGUACAUCGCUCUAGACUAUGUUAGAGACAUGAGAAGAGUUUCGAACUGCCCGGCGAGCAGGUCAUUACCAUUGGUCAACAAUGUUAAUAUUCCUAAGAAUCAAUCCAGAUUCUUUGAGCAACAAUCAAUCCAGAUUCAUAUUUCACUAAAGAUGUAAACAACUACUUCCAAUUCUUUAAUUUGCAAAUAGAGUUUGAAAUUGUUUAUUAGUUUGAUUUCAUAAACUUGAAACGAUACCAUCAUACAGAUUCUAAUCAUUGUAUU